This is an RNA transcript of Paralichthys olivaceus (Japanese flounder), 2869 nucleotides long. It is a transcript of the gene named ninjurin-2-like, with no coding region annotated. NCBI's taxonomy places the organism in Eukaryota, Metazoa, Chordata, Actinopteri, Pleuronectiformes, Paralichthyidae. The record is from RefSeq and is a predicted model, not a curated record.
CCUUUGCCUGGUGCUCGGUGCCUGGCAUCCAGUGUAAUUUCCUCUUCAUCACGACCACUGCGGUCCGCACCAUUAGCAUUUUUACUGCAGCAGGGGCAACACUUGGUGGGAGUGUGUGUGUGGGUCGCUUCAGGUCUUAUUAUGCAGGGAAUGGGGAAGACAGAGCGAGGGGAGCAGGGCCGAGACAUCGACCUGACAUCGCUGAGAUCCACCAUGCCGGCUGGCGGCCCUCUGCAGGGCGGUUCUAACCUGAACAUGAACCUGUAUGCCACCAAGAAGUCUGCAGCCGAGGGCAUGUUGGACAUCGCUCUGUUCCUGGCCAACAUCACACACAUGAAGACUGUCAUCGAACAGGGAGCUGGAUACAGGUACUACGCUGCUGUUCUGACGCUCAUCUCCUUCUCCCUGGCUCUUCAGAUAGUUGCUGGAGUCCUGAUCAUCGUCAUCGCUCGUUUUGAACUGACCCUCCUCCCCUCCUGUCAGCGUUGUUUAAACUUCCUGAACAAUGUGAUCACAGGCAUCAUCUUCCUCACCCUCAUCGUCAACAUCAUUAAAUCGGCCUUCGGCACACAACGCAGCUGCUUGCUGCGCUGGAUGUUUCAGCGUUUCAUCUUAUGAGACAUUCACACUCUGUGUGUUCACUCACCAAAUUCUGUUUAUUAGAGUUAGCCCGCAGGGACCUGAACGUGGUGUCCAAUCAGAAACGACUCGACUACCUGAACAACGUUGCCACAGGCGUCAUCUUCGUCACCACGGUGACAAACUUCUUCGUCAGCUUCUUUGGGUCCAAGAGGACAGGCUUCUUCCGCUGGCUGCUGGCUCGACUCCACUUCUGACACACACACACACACACACACACACACACACACACACACACACAUUUGUCAAAUCAAAGUUAAAAUAAAGUAAAAAGUUGUUUGUGCACUUGUAAUUUGUAUGAAGUUGGGAGACAUAAGUCACAUAUGUAAAAACUUCUUUUUUGGUUAUUUAUUAUUCUGUCUUUGACGUGUGUUGUUUCAUUUAUGUUUUCAUGCCAUAAUCCAACUAAAAUAUUUCACAAUAACCAACUGAGCAUCUCUUUUGAAUAUGCAUUCCUAUAUUUACUGCAAUUGCAUGCUUUCAUUUUCAUUUCCAAAACUGUGUAUGGAUUCCACUGUGUGUUUUAUAAUAUUUACACUUGACAUGUGUUGAAAUGAAAGAUUGAGAAAAGUUGAUGCAAACUUUAAUGUUUUAUAUUAUUUAUUCUCAAAGGUUUUUUUGGUUUUUAAGAUUCAAUCUCAAACAGAUACAAGGGCAGUCAGUACAUAUAUGAGGCGUACGUACACAUUGUCCUUCAGAAAGAUGAAUAAAUGUAAUGAUUUAACAGAAGCCAGUGAUGCUUACUGUGGUUUUUGCUGAAGGUGAAAUGGUGACUGCGACUAGUCAACUGCCAAAUAAUACAGAGGAUCUGAUAUCAGAAACUAUAGUGUGUGUGUGUGCACAGAGAUAAGCUCUUAUGAAUCUAUGACUCUUAGCACAUGUGAGGAACUAAAAUGUGGAGAUCUAAUUAUCAUCCUGCUGAAGUGCAUGAACUAAACAUGCACAUAUUAGAUUCUAAACACUGAGCUAUAGAUUCAAGUGUUCUGUCUGCAAAUAGAUCCCUUGACCCUGGGCUGUCAGUGACCGUCCUAUGACUCAACUCAUGUGGGGACUUGUCUCAAGGUCACAGUAUGUCUCUAAGUGUGUGUGUCUGCCACAGGACGCCGGGACCUGAAUAACUCUGCUCUCCAGAAGCGUCUGGACUACCUGAACAACGUGACGACCGUCAUAGUCUUCAUCACCACAGUCCUCAACUUCUUCAUCAGUACCUUUGGCAUGCAGCGCACUGGACACUUCCCAUGGCUCAUGAUGCGCUUUCACUGACCCACACACACACACUUCUGCUAACUAAUACACUUACACACUGACUCACAACUCAUUAUAUACAUACAUGCAUAGAGAGCGCUUUUUGCUUGAAUUUUUGACUUUUUGAUGUGUAACUUAAGAAUAUCAGAUUUCUAACAGAACUGCCAUGUCUCACAUGUUUAUUAACGUAAAAAAGAUUUCACAGCCUCAAUAUAAAUGUGUGUAAUACACUAAAGUAGACACAACAAACACAUACAUGCAACUAUUAUUGUUGAUCUUCAGCAUAAGAUGUGUUCUGCAUUUGUGACAAUUAUAAAGCUGCUGUAUCCAAAAAAAAUAGAAACAGAAUCAAUAAUAAAGCUGUUGUAUCUAAAAUAGAAUUAGAUUUGAAUUUUAAUAAAAUACAAUUUACAUUUUUUCAAACAGUAGCAGUAAGGAUUAAGCAAACAAAUUAAAUAAAAUGUAAGUAAAAUCAUUUAUAUUGAGACUGUCUACAUUAUGCAAUACUUGUUUUUGAACAGCAGGUGGCACUAUUGUCUAACAAUUGUAUGCUGGUCUGUUCUGAACGAGCCAGGAGGAAACAAUAAGAACUGAUCCCAGGCAUCAAGAAAACUAAAUUAAAUUCAGCCACUGUCACAUUACAUUACUUACAUCUGUGGAGAUGAAGCAAAUUUGCACUUGACAUCACUAAACAUCCACUUUUUCUCUUGGUAUCAGGGAUCUUGUUCAUUUGUUAUUUCUUUGAGUCUGAGUGUUAAAUGUGAGCAGAUAAUAAAUAGAUCUGUGUGUGUGCUCUGAAACGUUGCAUAUGGUACUUCCAUCAAUAAUUUCAUGAAUCCCUCAUCUUUUAAAGUAUUGUUUUAUUUUGAAUGUUGAAACACCCUCCAAUCACGCAUGGCCAAAAAAUAUCAGAUUUAAAAGUGUUUGCUCUGUAUUAUGCACCAGAUAUGUGUUACUUAUCCUUAAUAAAACUGUGUUUGUCAAA